ACAAGCACACACACAACACCGCGGUGGGGGUUGGGUGUUGAUGUUUGUAGUAAAACAAGCGCGUGGUAUAUGGUAUGAACAACUCUCUCUACUAACAGCCUUCUUUUCUUCAUUCUCCUCCCCCCCCCCCCUUCUUUCCUCUUCUCCCCGCGGGGUGUGUGUUUGUCUCACCCCCGCGGGGCGCGGGUUUGUUUCCACUUUAUAAAGAGGGUUGCCCCCCCCCCCCAUUAUAAACGCGGUGGGCGUGGGGUGAAUACUAAAAGGGAGACCCCAUGGGGGGGUGGGGCCCUUCCCGUCUUAAACGGGGAUCUUAAAACCCCCCAAACAUUCCUACCGCGGAACAAGCGAGGCUUGACCGAACCAGGUCCCAUUGCAGGCCACCCUGGAUUCAGGAGGUUCCCCCCGAAAGGCAACCAAAAUCCACAUCUUUCUGGGAAAAAGUUUCUCCUGGCAAAGUGCAAUGGCCCUUGGGUAAGGGUUUUUUCCGAGUUGCUUCGAAUUUAAACCCACAUGCUCCCCCGCUUGUGCGGGUCCCCCCGUCAAAUUCAUUUGAGUUUUAACCCUUGCGGCCGGUACUCCCCAGGCGGUCGACUUUAAUGCUUUAGCUGGGCCACCUAAGAUCUCAAGGAUCCCCAACGGCUAGUCGACAUGGUUUACGGCGUGGACUACCAGGGUAUCUAAUCCUGUUUGCUCCCCACGCUUUCGCACCUCAGUGUCAGUAUUAGCCCAGGUGGUCGCCUUCGCCACUGGUGUUCCUUCCUAUAUCUACGCAUUUCACCGCUACACAGGAAAUUCCACCACCCUCUGCCAUACUCUAGCUCGCCAGUUUUGGAUGCAGUUCCCAGGUUGAGCCCGGGGCUUUCACAUCCAACUUAACGAACCACCUACGCGCGCUUUACGCCCAGUAAUUCCGAUUAACGCUUGCACCCUUCGUAUUACCGCGGCUGCUGGCACGAAGUUAGCCGGUGCUUAUUCUGUUGGUAACGUCAAAACAGCAAGGUAUUAACUUACUGCCCUUCCUCCCAACUUAAAGUGCUUUACAAUCCGAAGACCUUCUUCACACACGCGGCAUGGCUGGAUCAGGCUUUCGCCCAUUGUCCAAUAUUCCCCACUGCUGCCUCCCGUAGGAGUCUGGACCGUGUCUCAGUUCCAGUGUGACUGAUCAUCCUCUCAGACCAGUUACGGAUCGUCGCCUUGGUGAGCCUUUACCUCACCAACUAGCUAAUCCGACCUAGGCUCAUCUGAUAGCGUGAGGUCCGAAGAUCCCCCACUUUCUCCCGUAGGACGUAUGCGGUAUUAGCGUUCCUUUCGAAACGUUGUCCCCCACUACCAGGCAGAUUCCUAGGCAUUACUCACCCGUCCGCCGCUGAAUCAUGGAGCAAGCUCCACUCAUCCGCUCGACAGCAUUUUUGUCUACCCCCCCCCU
This 1426-nucleotide ribosomal RNA is filed under the name Stutzerimonas stutzeri. RNAcentral describes it as "Pseudomonas stutzeri partial 16S ribosomal RNA". Lineage: Bacteria; Pseudomonadati; Pseudomonadota; Gammaproteobacteria; Pseudomonadales; Pseudomonadaceae. The record is from RNAcentral.